This 325-nucleotide ribosomal RNA is filed under the name uncultured bacterium. Its description in RNAcentral is "bacterial SSU rRNA". It matches the Rfam family "Bacterial small subunit ribosomal RNA", at positions 471 to 793 of the family's 1533-position model. The record is from RNAcentral.
GACGGUAUUUAACCAGAAAGUCACGGCUAACUACGUGCCAGCAGCCGCGGUAAUACGUAGGUGGCAAGCGUUAUCCGGAUUUAUUGGGCGUAAAGAGAGUGCAGGCGGUUUUCUAAGUCUGAUGUGAAAGACCUUCGGCUUAACCGGAGAAGUGCAUCGGAAACUGGAUAACUUGAGUGCAGAAGAGGGUAGGUGGAACUCCAUGUGUAGCGGUGGAAUGCGUAGAUAUAUGGAAGAACACCAGUGGCGAAGGCGGCUACCUGGUCUGCAACUGACGCUGAGACUCGAAAGCAUGGGUAGCGAACAGGAUUAGAUACCCUGGUAG